Zophobas morio is the source of this 645-nucleotide long non-coding RNA. RefSeq lists it as uncharacterized. NCBI's taxonomy places the organism in Eukaryota, Metazoa, Arthropoda, Insecta, Coleoptera, Tenebrionidae. The record is from RefSeq and is a predicted model, not a curated record. The transcript is spliced from 3 exons.
CAAUAAAAUUUAUCACGUUUUACUUCUUCUUUUUGCUCGCGUGUUUCGUUUCUUUAUUUUUCUUUUGAGGUCGUUUAGCUAAUGUAUAUUUAAAUUAUUUGACAUUAGACUUAAAAUUAAACUUGUACGAUGAGUGAAAAAAAAAGAAAGUAGUUACUUUGAACAAGUGGUUUCGGUGCGGCAUCCCUCUGGAAUUUUUUUUAAAAGUACGGAUAUAAAAUCUGCAAGGUGCAAAGAACGUUCGGGCGUUAUAAAAUUAGAAAUCUAGAAAUUACUAAGGAAUUAACACUGUCCAGUAGUAUUGAAAAGGGACCAGACCUGGUAAUAAAUUCGGAUAACGAUUUUUGUUGAGCCGACAUCACUCUUUCAACCAAAGAAGGGAAUUAAAGGUUAUUUUACAUCUUGUUAAAACGGAAGCACCGCGAAUGGUUCCAUUAGAUUAUUUUCCCUUUAAAUCUUUUAUUACUUCGACGGAUUUAAAAAAGUUGUACCUUAAAUUGGGUCAUCCCAAACCGUUAGAACUAUCGUAAUGAAAUAUGGAAAUGCCGUUAAAAAUAGAAUUACUGAGGAAAUUUUUGGGCAAUGCACCGUCAAAACCAUAAAUUUUCAUUAACAUUGAAUGAUGGGCCCUAAAAGAAACCGACG